UCACAAUGUUGCCUCUGUGAUGCGGGUUAUUUGUUUCCUUUUGUCUAACAAUUUAGGCAUGUGAAUACUGAUGUCUAUGUUUGAGUUACAUUGUUGCUGAGAUGUUUUAUUGGAUUUAUCCUUGUUGAGUUCCAUAAUGUCGUCAUCAUUACCUGUACUUUGAACUGUAAUAUACUCAACUUUGAAAAUAAUGUAAUACUACUGACUCGAUUUAUGCAGGACCUCUGCAGUUGCUGUUGCCAGAAUACAAGCCAAAAGCUAAAUUUUGCAUCUGUUGGUAAUUUUUGUGUUUAACCCACUAUUGUUUUUUUGAGAUUGUAUAGCGCUUGUUUCCUUUUAUGGGGUAUGGUACUAGGCAAACUGGAAAUUUGUAAAAGAAUAUGGAGAAAGAUUGAGAGGGGUGUCACAUUUCCGACUUGCAUUUCUAUUAAUCACAAUAUUUUCCAUUUUUCAGCAUUGACCUGUGCCGAGUUGGGAUUGGUGGAAGGGUGAAGAUGUAAGCUAUCAUGAGGCUCUAAUAACACAUACAAAGAUAAUAUGUCUGUCAACUAUUCAACUAGAAUGGGCAAUAUAAUGGUUAAAUGUGAUUUAUUAUCUGUGUAUAUGGGUUCAUUGCAUUAGUUCACAUGCAUUUUGUGAUUGACCUAAACAAGAAAUCAUAAACCUUGCUCUUUUCCUUCAAUCUAAUUUGUUUAUUCUGUGGAUAAAGGAAUAUACUAACAACAACAACAACCCAGUAUAAUCCCACUUAAUGGGGUCUGGGAAGGGUAAUAUGUACACAGACCUUACCCCUACCCUUGGGUAGAGAGGCUGUUUCCAA
RNAcentral lists this long non-coding RNA (820 nucleotides) under Nicotiana benthamiana. RNAcentral's name for it is "long non-coding RNA (NBEN_LNC042485)". The record is from RNAcentral. Lineage: Eukaryota; Viridiplantae; Streptophyta; Magnoliopsida; Solanales; Solanaceae.